This 392-nucleotide ribosomal RNA is filed under the name uncultured bacterium. Its description in RNAcentral is "partial 16S ribosomal RNA". It matches the Rfam family "Bacterial small subunit ribosomal RNA", at positions 523 to 918 of the family's 1533-position model. The record is from RNAcentral.
AUACGGAAGAUGCGAGCGUUAUCCGGAUUUAUUGGGUUUAAAGGGAGCGUAGGCGGGUUUUUAAGUCUGCGGUAAAAUGUCGGCGCCCAACGUCGUCUUGCCGUGGAAACUGGAGACCUUGAAUACACGCAAGGAAGAUGGAAUUCGUCGUGUAGCGGUGAAAUGCUUAGAUAUGACGAAGAACUCCGAAUGCGAAGGCAGUCUUCUGGAGUGCGAUUGACGCUGAGGCUCGAAAGUGCGGGUAUCAAACAGGAUUAGAUACCCUGGUAGUUCGCACCGUAAACGAUGAAUGCUCGUUAUUGGCGAUACACGGUCAGUAACCAAGGGAAACCAUUAAGCAUUCCACCUGGGGAGUACGCCGGCAACGGUGAAACUCAAAUGAAUUGACGGGG